GCUUCCGGGGGGAGGUGCUGUGUUCAUGGAACCCUUGUUGGACUCGGGUGUCCUUCCCAGUACCUGGUGUCAGCAGCGGUUGGAACCCUCACAACGAUCCUGCGAAGUAGCUUCCACAAGCCCUCAGGGGUGGUCCCCUGUAAUAUCUCCCAGCCAGUUGUGUACUUGGCCUUGGCAUUCCUGAGUGGGGCCUGCUGGGCCUUCCAGUCCCUGGGAAGGUUUAAGCCGCUGUGGGUUCUGCCCUUGUUUGCUUCUGCUGAAUGUCGUCUGUGCGUGGACAGACCCCGCCAGCACCCAGGCUCCACACAGCGCGCUGGGUCCCGACUCCCAACCCCGCGUCUGCUCAGGAGGCUCUUGAUAAGUCCGCAGCAACGUGGGAUUCAGGAAUCGUGGUGAACAGAGAGCUGCGUUAAAAGGAGAGAGAAUCCAACACGGAUGGAGCAGCAGAUCAACAAUCCAAGUGGAAUCUAGCUCUGUGGUUGCUGAAUUCAUUUCAUUGUACAAUUCAAUUGAACAUUUUUGUACAAUUGCACAAGUUCUGUACAAUUUUGUGCAAUUGUACAAUUCAUUGUACAUUUUAUUGAACAAUUCAAGUCACUGCUCUGAGGACCACCGCCCAGGACAAGAAAUAGAAGAUCCGCUCCUUGGAGGCCCUUCUUGGGUUCUUCCCAACCGUUCAUUACUCUUGCCUUCCUCCCCGAAGGUCGCCACUGUCCAGACUUCCAAACCCAAGGGCUGGUUUUGUCUAUUCUGGAACUCCUGCUACAUGGAACCAGUGAGUGCGUAUGCUUCUGUGUUGGGUUCCUUUCACCCAGCAAAGUGUUUCGGAGGCUCAUCUGUGGUGCCCCCCUACAUCUGUCUCAGCUCACAGGAACCCACUGGGUGAAGGGACCCUACGCUCCAAAGCUGAUGAGCAUUUGAACGGUUCCCAGUUUUGGGAAAAUGCCGUGGCGAACGCUCUCGUCCACGUGUUCAAGCGCCCAUGUGUUUGCGUUUCUGUUGGAGCAGAAUCGGUUGCUGCAGGUCAGAGGAUGGACACAGGUCAG
Molecule: long non-coding RNA, 1046 nt
Organism: Neogale vison (American mink)
Lineage: Eukaryota; Metazoa; Chordata; Mammalia; Carnivora; Mustelidae
Exons: 3
Source: RefSeq, a predicted model, not a curated record